This 464-nucleotide ribosomal RNA is filed under the name uncultured bacterium. RNAcentral describes it as "partial 16S ribosomal RNA". It matches the Rfam family "Bacterial small subunit ribosomal RNA", at positions 28 to 507 of the family's 1533-position model. The record is from RNAcentral.
GACGAACGCUGGCGGCGUGCUUAACACAUGCAAGUCGAACGGAAAGGCCCUGCUUGCAGGGUACUCGAGUGGCGAACGGGUGAGUAACACGUGGGUGAUCUGCCCUGCACUUCGGGAUAAGCCUGGGAAACUGGGUCUAAUACCGGAUAGGAGCCAUUUUUAGUGUGAUGGUUGGAAAGUUUUUUGGUGUAGGAUGAGCUCGCGGCCUAUCAGCUUGUUGGUGGGGUAAUGGCCUACCAAGGCGGCGACGGGUAGCCGGCCUGAGAGGGUGGACGGCCACAUUGGGACUGAGAUACGGCCCAGACUCCUACGGGAGGCAGCAGUGGGGAAUAUUGCACAAUGGGCGCAAGCCUGAUGCAGCGACGCCGCGUGGGGGAUGACGGCCUUCGGGUUGUAAACUCCUUUCGCUAGGGACGAAGCUUUUUGUGACGGUACCUAGAUAAGAAGCACCGGCUAACUACGUG